UUUUAUUUGAGAGUUUGAUCCUGGCUCAGGAUGAACGCUGGCGGCGUGCCUAACACAUGCAAGUUGAGCGAUUUACUUCGGUAAAGAGCGGCGGACGGGUGAGUAACGCGUGGGUAACCUACCCUGUACACACGGAUAACAUACCGAAAGGUAUGCUAAUACGGGAUAAUAUAUUUGAGAGGCAUCUCUUGAAUAUCAAAGGUGAGCCAGUACAGGAUGGACCCGCGUCUGAUUAGCUAGUUGGUAAGGUAACGGCUUACCAAGGCGACGAUCAG
RNAcentral lists this ribosomal RNA (275 nucleotides) under Clostridioides difficile. RNAcentral's name for it is "partial 16S ribosomal RNA". It matches the Rfam family "Bacterial small subunit ribosomal RNA", at positions 1 to 283 of the family's 1533-position model. Lineage: Bacteria; Bacillati; Bacillota; Clostridia; Peptostreptococcales; Peptostreptococcaceae. The record is from RNAcentral.